UACGUAGGUGGCAAGCGUUGUCCGGAUUUACUGGGCGUAAAGAGCGUGUAGGCGGUCCGGUAAGUCCGCUGUGAAAGUCCGGGGCUCAACCCCGGGAGGCGGAUGGAUACUGCAAGGCUCGAGUCCGGAAGAGGCAAGUGGAAUUCCCGGUGUAGCGGUGAAAUGCGCAGAUAUCGGGAGGAACACCAAUGGCGAAGGCAGCUUGCUGGGACGGUACUGACGCUGAGACGCGAAAGCGUGGGGAGCAAACAGG
RNAcentral lists this ribosomal RNA (253 nucleotides) under uncultured bacterium. RNAcentral's name for it is "partial 16S ribosomal RNA". It matches the Rfam family "Bacterial small subunit ribosomal RNA", at positions 524 to 776 of the family's 1533-position model. The record is from RNAcentral.